This 447-nucleotide ribosomal RNA is filed under the name uncultured bacterium. RNAcentral's name for it is "bacterial SSU rRNA". It matches the Rfam family "Bacterial small subunit ribosomal RNA", at positions 29 to 521 of the family's 1533-position model. The record is from RNAcentral.
AGCGAACGCUGGCGGCAGGCUUAAUACAUGCAAGUCGAGCGGGCGUAGCAAUACGUCAGCGGCAGACGGGUGAGUAACACGUGGGAACGUGCCUUUUGGUUCGGAACAACCCAGGGAAACUUGGGCUAAUACCGGAUAAGCCCUUCGGGGAAGAUUUAUCGCCAAAAGAUCGGCCCGCGUCUGAUUAGCUAGUUGGUGGGGUAAUGGCCCACCAAGGCGACGAUCAGUAGCUGGUCUGAGAGGAUGAUCAGCCACACUGGGACUGAGACACGGCCCAGACUCCUACGGGAGGCAGCAGUAGGGAAUAUUGGACAAUGGGGGAAACCCUGAUCCAGCCAUGCCGCGUGAGUGAUGAAGGCCUUAGGGUUGUAAAGCUCUUUCAGCGGGGAAGAUAAUGACGGUACCCGCAGAAGAAGCCCCGGCUAACUUCGUGCCAGCAGCCGCCGC